UACGUAGGGUGCGAGCGUUGUCCGGAAUUACUGGGCGUAAAGAGCUCGUAGGUGGUUUGUCGCGUCGGGAGUGAAAACCAGGUGCUUAACACCUGGCCUGCUUUCGAUACGGGCAGACUAGAGGUAGGUAGGGGAGAAUGGAAUUCCUGGUGUAGCGGUGAAAUGCGCAGAUAUCAGGAGGAACACCGGUGGCGAAGGCGGUUCUCUGGGCCUUACCUGACACUGAGGAGCGAAAGCGUGGGGAGCGAACAGG
RNAcentral lists this ribosomal RNA (253 nucleotides) under uncultured bacterium. Its description in RNAcentral is "partial 16S ribosomal RNA". It matches the Rfam family "Bacterial small subunit ribosomal RNA", at positions 524 to 776 of the family's 1533-position model. The record is from RNAcentral.